GCGCAGCAGUCGCGAAUACUUUACAAUGUGCGAAAGCACGAUAAGGGAACUCUGAGUGCCUCCUAAGGAGGCUGUUCAGGUGUCUAAAAGCACCUGAAGGAAGGGCUGGGUAAGACCGGUGCCAGCCGCCGCGGUAACACCGGCAGCCCAAGUGGUAGCCACGUUUAUUGGGUCUAAAGCGUCCGUAGCCGGCUGGGUAAGUUCCUUGGGAAAUUUGGCUGCUUAACAGUCAAGCUUUCAGGGAAUACUGCCCGGCUUGGGGACCGGGAGAGGUCAGAGGUACUCCAGGGGUAGGGGUGAAAUCCAUUAAUCCUUGGGGGACCACCGGUAGCGAAGGCGUCUGACCAGACCGGGUCCGACGGUGAGGGACGAAGGCUAGGGGCGCGAACCGGAUUAGAUACCC
RNAcentral lists this ribosomal RNA (403 nucleotides) under uncultured microorganism. RNAcentral describes it as "bacterial SSU rRNA". It matches the Rfam family "Archaeal small subunit ribosomal RNA", at positions 330 to 738 of the family's 1478-position model. The record is from RNAcentral.